AUCGACGUCAAUAAAGUUUUUCUGAACAGUAUCUGUUCUUAUCAGCUUAAUAUCUGAUAUGGUCCCUAUAUGGGUCCGUGAUAUUAGCCUUAUUUUUGUAACUUGGCGGGGUUGCUGGGCUUGCCCAGUUCCUGCCAGGGUCUGCCCGGUAUUGCACUACAACCGGGAUUGGCCCAGUUCCU
RNAcentral lists this small nuclear RNA (182 nucleotides) under Ixodes scapularis (black-legged tick). Its description in RNAcentral is "U2 spliceosomal RNA". It matches the Rfam family "U2 spliceosomal RNA". Rfam says of the family: U2 is a small nuclear RNA (snRNA) component of the spliceosome (involved in pre-mRNA splicing). Lineage: Eukaryota; Metazoa; Arthropoda; Arachnida; Ixodida; Ixodidae. The record is from Rfam by way of RNAcentral.